This 400-nucleotide ribosomal RNA is filed under the name Eukaryota sp. Its description in RNAcentral is "partial small subunit ribosomal RNA". It matches the Rfam family "Eukaryotic small subunit ribosomal RNA", at positions 582 to 975 of the family's 1831-position model. The record is from RNAcentral.
AUUCCAGCUCCAAUAGCGUAUAUUAAAGUUGUUGCAGUUAAAAAGCUCGUAGUUGGAUUUCUGGUUAGAUGCGCCUGGCCCGCCGACGUUCAGUCGUGUGAAGUGCUGGUGCGCAACUGCCAUCCUUCUAGAGAAGGGACCAACGGUUCAUUCCGGUUCGGUUCACAAUCUAGAUCUUUUACUUUGAAAAAAUUAGAGUGUUUAAAGCAGGCUUUUGCUAUGAAUACAUUAGCAUGGAAUAAUAAUUUAGGACUCUGUUUCUAUUUUGUUGGUUUCCGGAAACGGAGUAAUGAUUGAUAGGGAUAGUCAGGGGCACUCGUAUUCCGCCGAGAGAGGUGGAAUUCUCAGACCAGCGGAAGACGAACCACUGCGAAAGCAUUUGCCAGGGAUGUUUUCAUUA